Molecule: ribosomal RNA, 39 nt
Filed under: Trichoplax sp. H3
Lineage: Eukaryota; Metazoa; Placozoa; Uniplacotomia; Trichoplacea; Trichoplacidae
Also listed under: 1 other name
Description: partial 28S ribosomal RNA
Source: RNAcentral
UUAGACCUCAGAUCAGGCAAGAUUACCCGCUGAACUUAA